UUUAAUUGGAGAGUUUGAUCCUGGCUCAGAAUGAACGCUGGCGGCGUGCUUAACACAUGCAAGUCGUACGAGAACACCCUAGCUUGCUAGGGUAAGUAAAGUGGCGCACGGGUGAGUAACGCGUGGGUAAUCUACCUUCGAAUUGGGGAUAACGUUGCGAAAGCGACGCUAAUACCGAAUAAUAUCCAUUAAUCUUCGGGUUUUUGGAUCAAGGGUGGCCUCUACAUGUAAGCUACUGUUUGAAGAUGAGCCCGCGUACCAUUAGUUUGUUGGUGGGGUAACGGCCUACCAAGGCAGCGAUGGUUAGCUGGUCUGAGAGGAUGAUCAGCCACACUGGAACUGACACACGGUCCAGACUCCUACGGGAGGCAGCAGUGAGGAAUUUUGCGCAAUGGGGGAAACCCUGACGCAGCAAC
RNAcentral lists this ribosomal RNA (416 nucleotides) under Desulfosarcina sp. Its description in RNAcentral is "bacterial SSU rRNA". It matches the Rfam family "Bacterial small subunit ribosomal RNA", at positions 1 to 395 of the family's 1533-position model. Lineage: Bacteria; Pseudomonadati; Thermodesulfobacteriota; Desulfobacteria; Desulfobacterales; Desulfosarcinaceae. The record is from RNAcentral.